This 497-nucleotide ribosomal RNA is filed under the name uncultured bacterium. RNAcentral's name for it is "partial 16S ribosomal RNA". It matches the Rfam family "Bacterial small subunit ribosomal RNA", at positions 28 to 507 of the family's 1533-position model. The record is from RNAcentral.
GAUGAACGCUGGCGGCGUGCCUAAUACAUGCAAGUCGAGCGAACAGACGAGGAGCUUGCUCCUUUGACGUUAGCGGCGGACGGGUGAGUAACACGUGGGUAACCUACCUAUAAGACUGGGAUAACUUCGGGAAACCGGAGCUAAUACCGGAUAAUAUUUCGAACCGCAUGGUUCGAUAGUGAAAGAUGGCUUUGCUAUCACUUAUAGAUGGACCUGCGCUGUAUUAGCUAGUUGGUAAGGUAACGGCUUACCAAGGCAACGAUACGUAGCCGACCUGAGAGGGUGAUCGGCCACACUGGAACUGAGACACGGUCCAGACUCCUACGGGAGGCAGCAGUAGGGAAUCUUCCGCAAUGGGCGAAAGCCUGACGGAGCAACGCCGCGUGAGUGAUGAAGGUCUUCGGAUCGUAAAACUCUGUUAUUAGGGAAGAACAAACGUGUAAGUAACUGUGCACGUCUUGACGGUACCUAAUCAGAAAGCCACGGCUAACUACGUG